This 478-nucleotide ribosomal RNA is filed under the name uncultured bacterium. RNAcentral's name for it is "bacterial SSU rRNA". It matches the Rfam family "Bacterial small subunit ribosomal RNA", at positions 29 to 507 of the family's 1533-position model. The record is from RNAcentral.
ACGAACGCUGGCGGCGUGCUUAACACAUGCAAGUCGAACGGAGCACCCUUGAUUGAGGUUUCGGCCAAAUGAUAGGAAUGCUUAGUGGCGGACUGGUGAGUAACGCGUGAGGAACCUGCCUUUCAGAGGGGGACAACAGUUGGAAACGACUGCUAAUACCGCAUGACGCAUUUUGAUCGCAUGGUCGAAAUGCCAAAGAUUUAUCGCUGAAAGAUGGCCUCGCGUCUGAUUAGCUAGUUGGUGAGGUAACGGCCCACCAAGGCGACGAUCAGUAGCCGGACUGAGAGGUUGACCGGCCACAUUGGGACUGAGACACGGCCCAGACUCCUACGGGAGGCAGCAGUGGGGAAUAUUGCACAAUGGAGGAAACUCUGAUGCAGCGACGCCGCGUGAGCGAAGAAGUAUUUCGGUAUGUAAAGCUCUGUCAGCAGGGAAGAUAAUGACGGUACCUGACCAAGAAGCCCCGGCUAACUACGUG